GCUGGGUGCUAUAACACAUGCCUGCAGCCCCAGCUACUCGAGAGGUUGAUGAAGGAGGAUCCAUCCCUUAAGCCCAGGAGUUCUGGGCUGAAGUGUGCUAUGCCAAUGCGUUGUCUGCACUAAGUUUGGCAUCAAUAUGGUGACCUCCCAGGAGCUGGGAACCACCAGGUUGCCUAAGGGAGGGUAAACCGGCCUAGGUCAGAAGCAGAACAGAUCUAAACUCCCAUGCUGAUCAGUAGUGGGAUUGCACCUGUGAAUAGCUACUGCAUUCCAGCCUGGGCAACAUAGCAAGACCCCAACUCCAA
Molecule: unclassified non-coding RNA, 305 nt
Organism: Pongo abelii (Sumatran orangutan)
Lineage: Eukaryota; Metazoa; Chordata; Mammalia; Primates; Hominidae
Rfam family: Metazoan signal recognition particle RNA
About the family: The signal recognition particle (SRP) is a universally conserved ribonucleoprotein. It is involved in the co-translational targeting of proteins to membranes.
Source: Ensembl